This 1341-nucleotide ribosomal RNA is filed under the name uncultured bacterium. RNAcentral's name for it is "16S ribosomal RNA". It matches the Rfam family "Bacterial small subunit ribosomal RNA", at positions 28 to 1378 of the family's 1533-position model. The record is from RNAcentral.
GACGAACGCUGGCGGCGUGCUUAACACAUGCAAGUCGAACGGAAAGGCCCUGCUUUUGUGGGGUGCUCGAGUGGCGAACGGGUGAGUAACACGUGAGUAACCUGCCCUUGACUUUGGGAUAACUUCAGGAAACUGGGGCUAAUACCGGAUAGGAGCUCCUGCUGCAUGGUGGGGGUUGGAAAGUUUCGGCGGUUGGGGAUGGACUCGCGGCUUAUCAGCUUGUUGGUGGGGUAGUGGCUUACCAAGGCUUUGACGGGUAGCCGGCCUGAGAGGGUGACCGGCCACAUUGGGACUGAGAUACGGCCCAGACUCCUACGGGAGGCAGCAGUGGGGAAUAUUGCACAAUGGGCGGAAGCCUGAUGCAGCAACGCCGCGUGCGGGAUGACGGCCUUCGGGUUGUAAACCGCUUUCGCCUGUGACGAAGCGUGAGUGACGGUAAUGGGUAAAGAAGCACCGGCUAACUACGUGCCAGCAGCCGCGGUGAUACGUAGGGUGCGAGCGUUGUCCGGAUUUAUUGGGCGUAAAGGGCUCGUAGGUGGUUGAUCGCGUCGGAAGUGUAAUCUUGGGGCUUAACCCUGAGCGUGCUUUCGAUACGGGUUGACUUGAGGAGGUAGGGGAGAAUGGAAUUCCUGGUGGAGCGGUGGAAUGCGCAGAUAUCAGAGGAACACCAGUGGCGAAGGCGGUUCUCUGGGCCUUCCCUGACGCUGAGGAGCGAAAGCGUGGGGAGCGAACAGGCUUAGAUACCCUGGUAGUCCACGCUGUAAACGGUGGGUACUAGGUGUGGGGUCCAUUCCACGGGUUCCGUGCCGUAGCUAACGCUUUAAGUACCCCGCCUGGGGAGUACGGCCGCAAGGCUAAGACUCAAAGGAAUUGACGGGGCCCCGCACAAGCGGCGGAGCAUGCGGAUUAAUUCGAUGCAACGCGUAGAACCUUACCUGGGUUUGACAUGGAUCGGGAGUGCUCAGAGAUGGGUGUGCCUCUUUUGGGGUCGGUUCACAGGUGGUGCAUGCCUGUCGUCAGCUCGUGUCGUGAGAUGUUGGGUUAAGUCCCGCAACGAGCGCAACCCUUGUUCACUGUUGCCAGCACGUUAUGGUGGGGACUCAGUGGAGACCGCCGGGGUCAACUCGGAGGAAGGUGGGGAUGACGUCAAGUCAUCAUGCCCCUUAUGUCCAGGGCUUCACGCAUGCUACAAUGGCUGGUACAGAGAGUGGCGAGCCUGUGAGGGUGAGCGAAUCUCGGAAAGCCGGUCUCAGUUCGGAUUGGGGUCUGCAACUCGACCUCAUGAAGUCGGAGUCGCUAGUAAUCGCAGAUCAGCAACGCUGCGGUGAAUACGUUCCCGGG